This 466-nucleotide ribosomal RNA is filed under the name Vreelandella stevensii. Its description in RNAcentral is "partial 16S ribosomal RNA". It matches the Rfam family "Bacterial small subunit ribosomal RNA", at positions 338 to 795 of the family's 1533-position model. Lineage: Bacteria; Pseudomonadati; Pseudomonadota; Gammaproteobacteria; Oceanospirillales; Halomonadaceae. The record is from RNAcentral.
CCUACGGGAGGCAGCAGUGGGGAAUAUUGGACAAUGGGCGAAAGCCUGAUCCAGCCAUGCCGCGUGUGUGAAGAAGGCCUUCGGGUUGUAAAGCACUUUCAGUGGGGAAGAAAGCCUUGGGGCUAAUACCCUCGAGGAAGGACAUCACCCACAGAAGAAGCACCGGCUAACUCCGUGCACAGCAGCCGCGGUAAUACGGAGGGUGCGAGCGUUAAUCGGAAUUACUGGGCGUAAAGCGCGCGUAGGCGGUCUGAUAAGCCGGUUGUGAAAGCCCCGGGCUCAACCUGGGAACGGCAUCCGGAACUGUCAGGCUAGAGUGCAGGAGAGGAAGGUAGAAUUCCCGGUGUAGCGGUGAAAUGCGUAGAGAUCGGGAGGAAUACCAGUGGCGAAGGCGGCCUUCUGGACUGACACUGACGCUGAGGUGCGAAAGCGUGGGUAGCAAACAGGAUUAGAUACCCGAGUAGUC